GUAGACUAAAUUGGUCGUUGGUUGCACUUCUUUACAUAGCUUUGAAUGCCUUCACAAUGUUCAUGUUCCUGUUUCGUCCAUUUUACUGGGAAAAUGAAACUGGAAAGCAGAGGUUCAUUUGGUAGAUUAAAUCAUUCAAAAUGCAAGAAGGAUUCUGUCGUGGAAAUACAGUCUUAACAUGUUUACUAGUAGAAAUCAGUUGGUUCAGAUUCAGAAUUAUCGAGCUUUUUCGACCUUCAAUGCCGAUCGCUGGGUUUCGAUCUCUUCUAUGGUGGAGUAAAUGGUCCAAGAAAGACUGGGCCAUUGCAGUAAUCUGUUUCGCUUUCAUUUUUUUCGUGUUCUCCUUCUUCUCCGAUUCUUGGUAUGCUGAACACAGUGGCAUCGACCACACUUUCGAUCUCAAUCCCGCCAACGACCCCGAUAUGGUUGACCUCACUUUGCUGCAAAAUGCCAAAGCAAAAGGCGCUCUAUGUCUUGAUGGGAGUUUGCCCGGUUACCAUUUUCAGAAAGGCUUCGGGUCUGGUUCUGGCAACUGGGUUCUUCACAUUGAGGGUGGAGGGUGGUGUGAUACAAUCUCGUCCUGUUCUUGGCGUAAAAUGACCCCGUUAGGUUCAUCAGAUUACAUGGAGCGUCGUGUUCAUUUCUCUGGAAUUUUAAGUAGUGAUGCAUCACAAAAUCCCGAUUUCUAUAAUUGGAACAAAAUCAAGAUACGUUACUGUGAUGGAGCAUCGUUUGCAGGCCAUCCUGUGGGUGAAACAAAGAAUGGAAGUAUACUUCAUUUCAGAGGCCAGCUCAUCUGGGAAGCUCUUAUGGAUGAACUCUUAUCUGUUGGCUUGUCCAAGGCAAGACAGGCUCUUCUUUCAGGGUGCUCUGCUGGGGGCUUGGCUACCCUUAUUCAUUGUGAUGACUUCAGAGAGCUUUUACCGAAGGAUGCAACUGUCAAGUGUCUAGCCGAUGCUGGAUUUUUCCUUGAUGAGAAAGAUGUUUCGGGAAAUCAUACAAUGAGAUCUUUCUAUCACCAUGUUUUCAACCUUCAGAGGACUGGUAAAAGUUUACCCAAGGAUUGUACAGCUACAGACGAGCCAUCUAAGUGUCUCUUUCCUCAAGAAAUUAUCAAACAUAUAAGCACCCCGUUGUUUAUUGUCAACCCAGCUUAUGAUUUUUGGCAGAUACAAAAUGUCUUGGUGCCAAACACAUUAGCUCGUACUGGCUCUUGGCAGAAAUGUAGGCUUAAUAUUCAUAAAUGUGAUCAUGCUGAGCUUGGAAUUCUUCAAGGGUUCCGGAACUCUUUGCUGAAGGCACUGGAUGACUUCAAGCACAACAAGGAAGGAGGACUUUUUGUAAAUUCUUGCUUCGUCCAUUGCCAAACAUGGAUGUCUGAGACAUGGCACUCCCCCAAUUCUCCAAGGAUAAAUAAGAGGACUAUAGCAGAGGCCGUGGGUGAUUGGUACUUCAAACGGAAUUCAGUGAAGCUAAUUGACUGCCCUUUUCCAUGCAAUCCUACCUGCAUUCAUAUGGAUUUUAGCCGAGGUUAGCAUAUUGGAAUUAGUAACUGCUUCAGCGUUCUCUGUUGCCAUUCAUCUGCGAUGUCUUAAGGUUCUAGCGGAUAGACAUCUUUGUCCUUGUCCAAAAGCUGGUCUCCAGAAACAGAAACAGAGUCGCUUAUUUCCUUUUGGUGGAAUUCAAAUUGGAAACCCACCUACAUGAUCAAUAUCCAUCGGUGGUAAAAGUCAAAAGAGAGGUGCUGGUCCUCCUUUCCAUGUAUUUAUGAUAGUAACAGACACCAUCAUAGACAAGUUUCAUACAAGAUCUGAUGUUCUCCUCCCAUUCUGUCCCUGUUGAAGGGGGACGAGUCUUGUUGACAAAUUGAGCUGGCGUCAACUUUCCUCUAAAUAUUGACUGGAAUUUUCGGAUCACAAACCUAUUUGAACUGGAUCAUCUCCAGUAAAAACUGGAAAUUAUGAUAGCUUUUUAGUGACGAUCUAGUUUUCCUUAGUUCUCUCGUAGUUCAGAAGAUAUUGCUCUUCAAACUUUUUCAUUCCCCCUCACUAUGUAGGCUCAUAUCACUUCCAACGUCAUAGAAAAUAAUCAUGUAUUCCCUUUUGAAUUUAACAGUAGAACUUCAAGGCCUUGAAUAGAACUGACUAAGAAGUUUCGAACUUCUCAGGAGCCUUCUCCAAUAUUGGAUGGAAUGUGUGGUGGGGUGGGGAAAAAGUGAAUGGAUGUUUUAAGUUUAUAUCCCAUUUUUAAUCAGCCAAUCCAGCUCCAACAUUAUGUUCUG
This is an RNA transcript of Cucumis melo (muskmelon), 2281 nucleotides long. It is a transcript of the gene named pectin acetylesterase 5, with no coding region annotated. Lineage: Eukaryota; Viridiplantae; Streptophyta; Magnoliopsida; Cucurbitales; Cucurbitaceae. The transcript is spliced from 15 exons. The record is from RefSeq and is a predicted model, not a curated record.